Molecule: long non-coding RNA, 978 nt
Filed under: Homo sapiens (human)
Lineage: Eukaryota; Metazoa; Chordata; Mammalia; Primates; Hominidae
Description: long intergenic non-protein coding RNA 882
Source: RNAcentral
GGGUCCCCUAGGUCGCGGGGCAGCCGGGGCGGAAGGGGCUUGUUCAUUAUUUUGAGAGUUUGUUGUGAACGUCAUAACCUUUCGUCCUUAAAUAUUGCCGAUACUUGACCUACGCAAGAGACAAUGUCAUGUGAUUCAGCCUAAUAUCUCAGAGGAUGCAGCAUUCAAGGUUCUAUCUUGGAAGCAGAGACUGUGCCCUCACCAGAUGCUGAACCUGCUGAGCACCCUGAUCUUCCACUUCACCUUCAUCAGAACUGGACGCGCAUGAAAUUUGGUGCCGUGACUCGGAUCGGCGGACCUCCCUUAGGAGAUCAAUCCCCUGUCCUCCUGCUCUUUGCUCCAUGAGAAAGAUCCACCUACGACCUAAGGUCCUCAGACCAACCAGCCCAAGAAACAUCUCACCAAUUUCAAAUCCGAAAUCCUUCAUCUAAUCUGGCAAACACAUGUGGCAGGUUUUUCUCACCGCAUAAAAUAUGUUAUAGAGUAGUCCAUCUAUUUCUCUUCCAUGGAAGAGUUCAUCUGGUAGAUUGGACUACCACUUUUCCUUCAGGUCCCGAGUUCUCAUCCCGCAUCCAGGAAGAAUGAGGUUAUGUGGACACCUGGAGGGUGAGCGAGGCUGAGAAAAGCUUUAUUGGGCAACCAGACAGCUCUCAGAAGAGAGGUGACCUGAAGCAGCCAUAAUUUUAGCUUGUCUAAACUGCUUACCUGGUGUGAUGACCAAGAGCUUAAUCUCUGAAAGGAUGAGAGACGUUGAGCUCCAAACUCAGACUAAGAAACUAUAAGAAAUAUGCUUCAAUGAAGAAGCUGUUCAAAAAUGAGUAAGAUUGUUUCCUUGAGGCAAGAAAGAAAUGCAGAAGUCUUGACAAACAAAAGAAGAGAUUGCCUUAGGGAAGGGGACUACAGUGAACACUGAGAACUUCUUCCCACGCUAAGACAAUCUUUACAGAGCAAGACUCCGUCUCAAAAAAAAAAAAAAAA